This 678-nucleotide ribosomal RNA is filed under the name uncultured euryarchaeote. Its description in RNAcentral is "bacterial SSU rRNA". It matches the Rfam family "Archaeal small subunit ribosomal RNA", at positions 83 to 766 of the family's 1478-position model. The record is from RNAcentral. Lineage: Archaea; Methanobacteriati; Methanobacteriota.
CGGCUCAGUAACACGUGGAUAACCUACCCUCAGAUCUGGGAUAACUCCGGGAAACUGGAGAUAAUACCGGAUAAUCCGUGAACGCUGGAAUGCCUUACGGUUGAAAGCUUUAGCGUCUGAGGAUGGGUCUGCGGCCGAUUAGGUAGUUGCUGGGGUAACGUCCCAACAAGCCGAUAAUCGGUACGGGUUGUGAGAGCAAGAGCCCGGAGAUGGAUUCUGAGACACGAAUCCAGGUCCUACGGGGCGCAGCAGGCGCGAAAACUUUACACUGCGCGAAAGCGCGAUAAGGGGACCUCGAGUGCGUGCGCAAAGCGUACGCUUUUCAGAUGCCUAAAAAGCAUCUGGAAUAAGGGCCGGGCAAGACCGGUGCCAGCCGCCGCGGUAACACCGGCGGCUCAAGUGGUGGCCGCUAUUAUUGGGCUUAAAGGGUCCGUAGCCGGACCAGUUAGUCCCUUGGGAAAUCUUACGGCUUAACCGUAAGGCUGCCAAUGGAUACUGCUGGUCUUGGGACCGGGAGAGGCAAGAGGUACCUCAGGGGUAGGAGUGAAAUCCUGUAAUCCUUGAGGGACCGCCAGUGGCGAAGGCGUCUUGCUAGAACGGGUCCGACGGUGAGGGACGAAAGCUAGGGGCACGAACCGGAUUAGAUACCCGGGUAGUCCUAGCCGUAAACGAUGCGAG